Cyprinodon variegatus (sheepshead minnow) is the source of this 342-nucleotide long non-coding RNA. RefSeq lists it as uncharacterized. NCBI's taxonomy places the organism in Eukaryota, Metazoa, Chordata, Actinopteri, Cyprinodontiformes, Cyprinodontidae. The record is from RefSeq and is a predicted model, not a curated record. The transcript has 3 exons.
CUUCCGGACUGAGUUCACUAAAAUGGCAUUUUUCCACCUAGUUUUUGGUUUGCUCUGCAAAGCCCUUCUUGUCCUGUUCUCUCUCCUCUUCAUUGCCUUUCUGGGUUACUGCUUGUACAUUAAGUACAUUCAUAUGAAAUAUGACCACAUACCAGGGCCACCAAGGGACAGCUUCUUUUUUGGCCAUUCACCAACACUUCUGAAGAUAAUGAAAAAAGAUGGCUUAGUGCAUGACAAAUUCCUAGAAUGGUCUGAGACUUACGGACAUGUUUGUAGGAUAAAUCUUCUGCACUAUGUCAGUAUAUGCAUCACGUGUCCAGAAGCAACAAAGGUAAAUAUGUC